ACUCCUACGGGAGGCAGCAGUGGGGAAUAUUGCACAAUGGGCGCAAGCCUGAUGCAGCCAUGCCGCGUGUGUGAAGAAGGCCUUCGGGUUGUAAAGCACUUUCAGUCGUGAGGAAGGUAGUGUAGUUAAUAGCUGCAUUAUUUGACGUUAGCGACAGAAGAAGCACCGGCUAACUCCGUGCCAGCAGCCGCGGUAAUACGGAGGGUGCGAGCGUUAAUCGGAAUUACUGGGCGUAAAGCGCGCGUAGGUGGUUAGUUAAGUUGGAUGUGAAAUCCCCGGGCUCAACCUGGGAACUGCAUUCAAAACUGACUGACUAGAGUAUGGUAGAGGGUGGUGGAAUUUCCUGUGUAGCGGUGAAAUGCGUAGAUAUAGGAAGGACACCAGUGGCGAAGGCGACCACCUGGACUGAUACUGACACUCAGAUGCGAAAGCGUGGGGAGCAAACAGGAUUAGAUACCCUGGUAGGAUAGCG
This 472-nucleotide ribosomal RNA is filed under the name uncultured bacterium. RNAcentral's name for it is "bacterial SSU rRNA". It matches the Rfam family "Bacterial small subunit ribosomal RNA", at positions 335 to 799 of the family's 1533-position model. The record is from RNAcentral.